GACGAACGCUGGCGGCGUGCUUAACACAUGCAAGUCGAACGGAAAGGCCCUGCUUUUGUGGGGUGCUCGAGUGGCGAACGGGUGAGUAACACGUGAGUAACCUGCCCUUGACUUUGGGAUAACUUCAGGAAACUGGGGCUAAUACCGGAUAGGAGCUCCUGCUGCAUGGUGGGGGUUGGAAAGUUUCGGCGGUUGGGGAUGGACUCGCGGCUUAUCAGCUUGUUGGUGGGGUAGUGGCUUACCAAGGCUUUGACGGGUAGCCGGCCUGAGAGGGUGACCGGCCCAUUGGGAGCUGGGAUACGGCCCAGAUCCCUACGGGGGGCAGAAGUGGGGAAUAUGGCACAAGGGGGGGAAGCCUGAGGCAGCAACGCCGGGGGGGGGAUGACGGCCUUGGGGUGGAAAACCGCUUUCCCCUGGAAAGAAGGGGGGGUGACGGUAAUGGGGAAAGAAGCACCGGCGAACUACGU
This 467-nucleotide ribosomal RNA is filed under the name uncultured bacterium. RNAcentral's name for it is "partial 16S ribosomal RNA". It matches the Rfam family "Bacterial small subunit ribosomal RNA", at positions 28 to 506 of the family's 1533-position model. The record is from RNAcentral.